UACGGAGGGAGCUAGCGUUGUUCGGAAUUACUGGGCGUAGAGCGCACGUAGGCGGCUACUCAAGUCAGAGGUGAAAGCCCAGGGCUCAACCUUGGAACUGCCUUUGAAACUAGGUAGCUAGAAUUCUGGAGAGGUCAGUGGAAUUCCGAGUGUAGAGGUGAAAUUCGUAGAUAUUCGGAAGAACACCAGUGGCGAAGGCGACUGACUGGACAGAUAUUGACGCUGAGGUGCGAAAGCGUGGGGAGCAAACAGG
Molecule: ribosomal RNA, 253 nt
Filed under: uncultured bacterium
Lineage: Bacteria
Description: partial 16S ribosomal RNA
Rfam family: Bacterial small subunit ribosomal RNA
Source: RNAcentral